ACGGCAUGAUGGGGACAUUUUCUGAUGAGACCCUUUAAUCGUUCCCCUGAUUCAUGGAACUGCUCACCAUCUUGUUACGAGAAACUAGUGAGAUCUCGUCUUAUCU
RNAcentral lists this small nucleolar RNA (106 nucleotides) under Cephalotus follicularis. Its description in RNAcentral is "Plant small nucleolar RNA R71". It matches the Rfam family "Plant small nucleolar RNA R71". Rfam says of the family: R71 is a member of the C/D box family of snoRNAs containing the C (UGAUGA) and D (CUGA) box motifs. Multiple nearly identical copies of this snoRNA have been identified in Arabidopsis, and it is thought to function as a 2'-O-ribose methylation guide for 18S ribosomal RNA. Lineage: Eukaryota; Viridiplantae; Streptophyta; Magnoliopsida; Oxalidales; Cephalotaceae. The record is from Rfam by way of RNAcentral.